RNAcentral lists this ribosomal RNA (261 nucleotides) under uncultured archaeon. RNAcentral's name for it is "partial 16S ribosomal RNA". It matches the Rfam family "Archaeal small subunit ribosomal RNA", at positions 748 to 1009 of the family's 1478-position model. The record is from RNAcentral.
UAGGCGUAAACGAUACUCGCUAGGUGUCGGCCACGGUGCGACCGUUGUCGGUGCCGUAGGGAAGCCGUGAAGCGAGCCACCUGGGAAGUACGGCCGCAAGGCUGAAACUUAAAGGAAUUGGCGGGGGAGCACCGCAACGGGAGGAGCGUGCGGUUUAAUUGGAUUCAACACCGGAAAACUCACCAGUGAAGACUGUUACAUGAAAGCCAGGCUGAUGACCUUGCUAGAUUUUCAGAGAGGAGGUGCAUGGCGUAGACGUCU